GCGAGCGUUAUCCGGAUUUACUGGGCGUAAAGAGGGCGUAGGCGGUUUUUCAAGUCGAGUGUAAAAUCUCCCGGCUUAACUGGGAGGGACCAUUCGAUACUGUUGGACUAGAGGGCAGCAGGGGGAGGUGGAAUUCCCGGUGUAGUGGUGAAAUGCGUAGAUAUCGGGAGGAACAUCAGUGGCGAAGGCGGCCUCCUAGGCUGUUUCUAACGCUGAGGCCCGAAAGCGUGGGGAGCGAACAGGAUCAGAUACCCUGGUAGUCCACGCCGUAAACAAUGGACACUAGGUAUAGGGAGUAUCGACCCUCUCUGUGCCGAAGUUAACGCAUUAAGUGUCCCGCCUGGGGAGUACGGCCGCAAGGCUAAAACUCAAAGGAAUUGACGGGGGCCCGCACAAGCAGCGGAGCGUGUGGUUUAAUUCGAUGCAACGCGAAGAACCUUACCAAGGCUUGACAUGUCGGAAGUAGCGACCCGAAAGGGAAGCCACCUGUUGAAUCAGGAACCCGUCACAGGUGCUGCAUGGCUGUCGUCAGCUCGUGCUGUGAGGUGUUAGGUUAAGUCCUGUAACGAGCGCAACCCUCGUUGCCAGUUGUUUUCUCUGGCGAGACCGCCUCGUAAAAUGGGGAGGAAGGUGGGGAUGACGUCAAGUCAACACGGCCCUUAUGCCUUGGGCUACACACACGCUACAAUGGGUGGUACAAUGGGCAGCAAUAGAAUGAUCUGGAGCCAAUCCUAUUAAAGCAUCCUCAGUUCGGAUUGUAGGCUGAAACUCGCUUCAUUGAAGUUGGAAGUUCUAGUA
RNAcentral lists this ribosomal RNA (798 nucleotides) under uncultured green non-sulfur bacterium MT61. Its description in RNAcentral is "bacterial SSU rRNA". It matches the Rfam family "Bacterial small subunit ribosomal RNA", at positions 534 to 1340 of the family's 1533-position model. The record is from RNAcentral. Lineage: Bacteria; Bacillati; Chloroflexota.